This 326-nucleotide ribosomal RNA is filed under the name Labiobaetis glaucus. RNAcentral describes it as "partial 12S ribosomal RNA". It matches the Rfam family "Bacterial small subunit ribosomal RNA", at positions 848 to 1382 of the family's 1533-position model. Lineage: Eukaryota; Metazoa; Arthropoda; Insecta; Ephemeroptera; Baetidae. The record is from RNAcentral.
ACUAUAAAGCCGUUAAGCCCACCUGAGUAGUAACGGCUUAAGCCCCAAACUCAAAGAAUUUGGCGGCUCUUUAUCUCAUUAGAGGAACCUGCCCCGUAAUCGAUGGUCCACGAAACCUUGUACCUACCCCUAUAGCUUGUAUACCGCCGUUCAGGGUGGGUCUAGAGACCUGCUCGAAAUUAAAUUAUUAAGUAAUUCAGGUCAAGGUGCAGCCCAUGGGUAGGAGGAGGUGGGUUACAAUAAGCUUAUCCGGAUUAUGAAUUGAAAAUUUAUAUGAAGUUGGAUUUAAUAGUAAAAUCUAAAAUAUUGGAAGAGCGCUAAAGUGU